This 278-nucleotide ribosomal RNA is filed under the name uncultured prokaryote. RNAcentral's name for it is "partial 16S ribosomal RNA". It matches the Rfam family "Bacterial small subunit ribosomal RNA", at positions 524 to 801 of the family's 1533-position model. The record is from RNAcentral.
UACGUAGGUGGCAAGCGUUGUCCGGAUUUACUGGGUGUAAAGGGGGCGCAGGCGGGAAGCUAAGUUGGAUGUGAAAUACCGGGGCUCAACUCCGGAGCUGCAUCCAAAACUGGUUUUCUUGAGUGGAGUAGAGGCAAGCGGAAUUCCGAGUGUAGCGGUGAAAUGCGUAGAUAUUCGGAGGAACACCAGUGGCGAAGGCGGCUUGCUGGGCUCUAACUGACGCUGAGGCCCGAAAGCGUGGGGAGCAAACAGGAUUAGAUACCCGGGUAGUCCCUGAG